This 301-nucleotide ribosomal RNA is filed under the name uncultured bacterium. RNAcentral describes it as "partial 16S ribosomal RNA". It matches the Rfam family "Bacterial small subunit ribosomal RNA", at positions 509 to 807 of the family's 1533-position model. The record is from RNAcentral.
CAGCAGCCGCGGUAAUACGAAGGGUGCAAGCGUUACUCGGAAUUACUGGGCGUAAAGCGUGCGUAGGUGGUGGUUUAAGUCCGUUGUGAAAGCCCUGGGCUCAACCUGGGAAUUGCAGUGGAUACUGGGUCACUAGAGUGUGGUAGAGGAUAGUGGAAUUUCCGGUGUAGCAGUGAAAUGCGUAGAGAUCGGAAGGAACAUCUGUGGCGAAGGCGACUAUCUGGGCCAACACUGACACUGAGGCACGAAAGCGUGGGGAGCAAACAGGAUUAGAUACCCGUGUAGUCCCUGUCUCUUAUAC